GGCGGCAGGCUUAACACAUGCAAGUCGAGCGGGCGUAGCAAUACGUCAGCGGCAGACGGGUGAGUAACGCGUGGGAACGUACCUUUUGGUUCGGAACAACACAGGGAAACUUGUGCUAAUACCGGAUAAGCCCUUACGGGGAAAGAUUUAUCGCCGAAAGAUCGGCCCGCGUCUGAUUAGCUAGUUGGUAGGGUAAUGGCCUACCAAGGCGACGAUCAGUAGCUGGUCUGAGAGGAUGAUCAGCCACAUUGGGACUGAGACACGGCCCAAACUCCUACGGGAGGCAGCAGUGGGGAAUAUUGGACAAUGGGGGCAACCCUGAUCCAGCCAUGCCGCGUGAGUGAUGAAGGCCCUAGGGUUGUAAAGCUCUUUUGUGCGGGAAGAUAAUGACGGUACCGCAAGAAUAAGCCCCGGCUAACUUCGUGCCAGCAGCCGCGGUA
This 440-nucleotide ribosomal RNA is filed under the name Bradyrhizobium sp. 2F2. RNAcentral describes it as "bacterial SSU rRNA". It matches the Rfam family "Bacterial small subunit ribosomal RNA", at positions 38 to 522 of the family's 1533-position model. The record is from RNAcentral. Lineage: Bacteria; Pseudomonadati; Pseudomonadota; Alphaproteobacteria; Hyphomicrobiales; Nitrobacteraceae.